This 253-nucleotide ribosomal RNA is filed under the name uncultured bacterium. RNAcentral's name for it is "partial 16S ribosomal RNA". It matches the Rfam family "Bacterial small subunit ribosomal RNA", at positions 524 to 776 of the family's 1533-position model. The record is from RNAcentral.
GACGUAGGGCGCGAGCGUUGUCCGGAUUUAUUGGACGUAAAGAGCUCGUAGGCGGUUUGUCGCGUCGUUCGUGAAAACUCACAGCUUAACUGUGAGCUUGCGGUCGAUACGGGCAGGCUAGAGUUCGGUAGGGGAGACUGGAAUUCCUGGUGUAGCGGUGAAAUGCGCAGAUAUCAGGAGGAACACCGGUGGCGAAGGCGGUUCUCUGGGCAUGACCUGACGCUGAGGAGCGAAAGUGUGGGGAGCGAACAGG